AUAUAUUCAAAAACUGCAACCAACCCUGACUUUUCAAUCUCCCAAGUAAAAAAAAGUAGCUUUGUUUCAUAAAUAUAGUGUUUUAAUUGAUUGUUGUGUGUGUAUAAAUACAAGUAGACAGGUUGAAGUAGGUCAGCCGCCACAGAAACUACCACAGGAACCUAGCUUGUUGACGGACUGAAAAUAUUAGAAAGGUGGUGGUGCAACAUCAAUGUGCUGGAGAGGAAAGAUGACCUAGUGCUUUUUAACAAAAGAUUAACAUCUCCGACCGUUGUAAAAGCUCAGUUUGGAGUUGAGUGGGAACAGUACGUUGUUCAACAUGAUUUUUACUAUUAUUCUCAUGGAACAUUUUUAAGGGAACUCUAAACUUUUUGUAUGCGGUACAUAAAGUUUAGUGUGAGUGGCUGUAUGACAAGUUUUUGGUCAUGGUGGUUCUCCAAUGUCAACGGUGAUUCGAAAA
Long non-coding RNA from Glycine soja, 460 nucleotides. RefSeq lists it as uncharacterized. The transcript is spliced from 2 exons. NCBI's taxonomy places the organism in Eukaryota, Viridiplantae, Streptophyta, Magnoliopsida, Fabales, Fabaceae. The record is from RefSeq and is a predicted model, not a curated record.